RNAcentral lists this ribosomal RNA (756 nucleotides) under uncultured bacterium. RNAcentral describes it as "bacterial SSU rRNA". It matches the Rfam family "Bacterial small subunit ribosomal RNA", at positions 8 to 796 of the family's 1533-position model. The record is from RNAcentral.
AGAGUUUGAUCCUGGCUCAGAAUCAACGCUGGCGGCGCGCUUAACACAUGCAAGUCGAACGAGAAAGUGGAGCAAUCCAUGAGUACAGUGGCGUACGGGUGAGUAACACGUGGGUAAUCUGCCUUUUAGUGAGGAAUAACGAUGGGAAACCGUCGCUAAUACCGCAUAAGCCCGAGAGGGGGAAGUCGCAAGACGCUGAAAGAGGAGCCCGCGGCCGAUUAGCUAGUUGGUAGGGUAAGAGCCUACCAAGGCAGAGAUCGGUAGCCGGCCUGAGAGGGCACACGGCCACACUGGCACUGAAACACGGGCCAGACUCCUACGGGAGGCAGCAGUGGGGAAUCUUGCACAAUGGGGGCAACCCUGAUGCAGCGACGCCGCGUGAGCGAUGAAGCCCUUCGGGGUGUAAAGCUCUUUCGGCAGGGAAGAUUAUGACGGUACCUGCAGAAGCAGCUGCGGCUAACUACGUGCCAGCAGCCGCGGUAAUACGUAGGCAGCGAGCGUUGUUCGGAGUUACUGGGCGUAAAGGGUGUGUAGGCGGUUCUUUAAGUUUGGUGUGAAAUCUCCCGGCUCAACCGGGAGGGUGCGCCGAAUACUGAGGGACUAGAGUACGGGAGAGGAAAGUGGAAUUCCCGGUGUAGCGGUGAGAUGCGUAGAUAUCAGGAGGAACACCGGUGGUGUAGACGGCUUUCUGGACCGUAACUGACGCUGAGACACGAAAGCGUGGGUAGCAAACAGGAUUAGAUACCCUGGUAGUCC